GAUAGACGCUGGCGGCGUGCCUAACACAUGCAAGUCGAACGCCCUUUUGCGCAAGUGAGAGGGAGUGGCGGACGGGUGAGUACCACGUGGGUACCUACCUUGAGGUGAGGAAUACCACCGAGAAAUCGGUGACAAGACCGCAUACGCUCGGGCAACCGAGCAAAGUCAUGCAAAUGACGCCACAAGAUGAGCCUGCGCCUGAUUAGCUGGUUGGUGAGGAACAGCUCACCAAGGCGACGAUCAGUAGCUGGUCUGAGAGGAUGAUCAGCCACACUGGGAUUGAGAACGGCCCAGACU
This 297-nucleotide ribosomal RNA is filed under the name uncultured bacterium. RNAcentral's name for it is "partial 16S ribosomal RNA". It matches the Rfam family "Bacterial small subunit ribosomal RNA", at positions 28 to 337 of the family's 1533-position model. The record is from RNAcentral.